UUAAGUUUGAAAAAUAUUGAUUUAUUAACUAGAAUUUAACAUAACAUGCGUUCUAAGAAGAUUUUUGACAUGCUUGUAGCUUUACACUGGACAUGGCACGACCACUCAAACCGUUACAUGUAAAAGAAAAGGGCAAAUUAUUUUAUACAUCGGGUGGUGUAAUGCUCUUUCACUCAUAAAUAUGUGUGCCCUUUACAAAUGAAGAAGAGUGGACCCACAUAAAUGUGAGUGAGUUGCAUGUGCAGAGGGGCAGGCGCACUGAAUAAUAUCCGAAGAAAAAGAACAUGUCCAUUUCGAGGUUAAACUUUGUCAGCCACAUCUGAAUCCUGCUUGGUUUUCUCCGCCUCUUCCUUAACUUUUUGAUCUUCAACAUUAUUUACAUCAUCUUUUGGUAGUGGAACCACAACUGUGUUUAUAUCGUAGCAGAGGGUUGCACCUAGCUUCGCAACGUCAACGAUGUGUCCAGACAAUUCGCGAAGUUUUGGCUCCUGCACUGGUAAUUUCUUGGGCUUCCUGUAGAUAAAAUAAAGCAUCAUCUGGGCAAGGCCGAAGAGAAAGCCCAAUAUAUUUGGAACCUGUCCAUGAAAAGAAAAAUAAAAUGCAAGUGGAAGUUAAUCAAAGGGGAAGAAAAAGUUUCUUGUUGAUAAUUAAUGGGAAAGAAACAAUACUAAAAGUAAAAAAGUUAGUGGAAUGAAGAUAGAUGUACAUGCAUGAUGAUGCAUGUAUACAUAUUGCACAGUUAACUUACGGCAACAUAAAGGUCUUUCUUUAGAAAACCAUAGAAGAACCACAUGACUGCAGUCAAGGUGAGGAAGAAUGAUAAAGAAAAUGGCAUGAACUCGACGCUCUUGGUUUUUAUCACUUUUCUCACGAUGCACAUAGGUGCAACAAACACGCAUAAAGCAAAUAUCAUACAAAUCCAUCCAAGAACAUCAACACGCUUUCGGCCAUGUGUUAGGGACAGAGUUAAGAUGCAGAUAAUUCCGAACCCAAAAACAUUGAAGAAGAGGAGAAGUUUUGUAGUGAACAUCCUGUCGUUCUUUGUGGCAUAGAUAAGGUACACAGUAAUGUAGCCAAUCUCCAUGAAGAAUGUGAAGGAGUUGAUGGUGAUGAGAAGCGUGGAAUCGUCAUCAAAAAUUGCAUAGAACAACCACAGCAUAGCACUAAACAGUGCAAUCACAUAUGGAAUGGACUGGAAUCCUUCACUUGUUUUCUUCUUGAAAAUUUGGUAAAAAGUUGGAAGAGGAGCAAGGCAAACCAUGGCGGAGAUGAUGUUAGCUAAAACACCAAAAAUGAAGUCCCAUGUCAGGUGCAAGGCCAUCUCUAGCCAGCUAAUAUGCUAGCUACUCUUUCUCUCUGAAGCAGCUGCUUUCUGAAGAGGAAACUCUGGCUAUG
This 1395-nucleotide unclassified non-coding RNA is filed under the name Hevea brasiliensis (rubber tree). Lineage: Eukaryota; Viridiplantae; Streptophyta; Magnoliopsida; Malpighiales; Euphorbiaceae. The record is from RNAcentral.